UGCUUCCCAAGGCCACAUGCUUCUUUAUAUCCCCAUAUGGAUUACUUUGCUAUGGAAUGUAAGGAAGUGUGUGGUUUCGGUAAGUG
Otolemur garnettii (small-eared galago) is the source of this 86-nucleotide microRNA precursor. NCBI's taxonomy places the organism in Eukaryota, Metazoa, Chordata, Mammalia, Primates, Galagidae. The record is from Ensembl.